GAUGAACGCUGGCGGCGUGCCUAAUACAUGCAAGUCGAGCGAACAGAUGAGGAGCUUGCUCCUCUGACGUUAGCGGCGGACGGGUGAGUAACACGUGGAUAACCUACCUAUAAGACUGGGACAACUUCGGGAAACCGGAGCUAAUACCGGAUAAUAUAUUGAACCGCAUGGUUCAAUAGUGAAAGACGGUUUUGCUGUCACUUAUAGAUGGAUCCGCGCCGCAUUAGCUAGUUGGUAAGGUAACGGCUUACCGAGGCAACGAUGCGUAGCCGACCUGAGAGGGUGAUCGGCCACACUGGAACUGAGACACGGUCCAGACUCCUACGGGAGGCAGCAGUAGGGAAUCUUCCGCAAUGGGCGAAAGCCUGACGGAGCAACGCCGCGUGAGUGAUGAAGGUCUUCGGAUCGUAAAACUCUGUUAUUAGGGAAGAACAAAUGUGUAAGUAACUAUGCACGUCUUGACGGUACCUAAUCAGAAAGCCACGGCUAACUACGUG
Molecule: ribosomal RNA, 497 nt
Filed under: uncultured bacterium
Lineage: Bacteria
Description: partial 16S ribosomal RNA
Rfam family: Bacterial small subunit ribosomal RNA
Source: RNAcentral